This 66-nucleotide transfer RNA is filed under the name Paduniella fasciaria. RNAcentral's name for it is "tRNA-Asp". The record is from RNAcentral. Lineage: Eukaryota; Metazoa; Arthropoda; Insecta; Trichoptera; Psychomyiidae.
AAAGAAUUAGUUAAUAAAAAUAACAUAAAUUUGUCAAAUUUAAAUAAUUAUACAUAAUAUUCUUUU